CGUUGAUAGGCCGGGUGUGUAAGCGCAGCGAUGCGUUGAGCUAACCGGUACUAAUGAACCGUGAGGCUUAACCUUACAACGCCGAAGGUGUUU
RNAcentral lists this ribosomal RNA (93 nucleotides) under Escherichia coli. RNAcentral's name for it is "partial 23S ribosomal RNA". The stretch from base 1 to 75 matches the Rfam family "Bacterial large subunit ribosomal RNA", at positions 2851 to 2925 of the family's 2925-position model. Lineage: Bacteria; Pseudomonadati; Pseudomonadota; Gammaproteobacteria; Enterobacterales; Enterobacteriaceae. The record is from RNAcentral. RNAcentral also lists the same sequence under 2 other names.